CAGCCGCCGCGGGAAUACCGAGGGUGCGAGCGUUAAUCGGAUUUACUGGGCGUAAAGCGUGCGUAGGCGGCUUUUUAAGUCGGAUGUGAAAUCCCUGAGCUUAACUUAGGAAUUGCAUUCGAUACUGGGAAGCUAGAGUAUGGGAGAGGAUGGUAGAAUUCCAGGUGUAGCGGUGAAAUGCGUAGAGAUCUGGAGGAAUACCGAUGGCGAAGGCAGCCAUCUGGCCUAAUACUGACGCUGAGGUACGAAAGCAUGGGGAGCAAACAGGAUUAGAUACCCCAGUAGUCCCUGUCUCUUAUAA
RNAcentral lists this ribosomal RNA (301 nucleotides) under uncultured bacterium. RNAcentral describes it as "partial 16S ribosomal RNA". It matches the Rfam family "Bacterial small subunit ribosomal RNA", at positions 509 to 809 of the family's 1533-position model. The record is from RNAcentral.